UUCGAUGAUACGCGAGGAACCUUACCUGGGCUUAAAUGGGGAGUGACACGCGUGGCGGAAAGUUGGUUUUCUUCGGACACUCUUCAAGGUGCUGCAUGGUUGUCGUCAGCUCGUGCCGUGAGGUGUCGGGUUAAAGUCCCCAUAACCGAGCGCAACCCUUACUGUUAGUUGCCAGCGGGUCAAGCCGGGAACUCUAACGGGACUGCACCGUAAGGUGAGAGGAAGGUGGGGAUGACGUCAAAUCAGCACGGCCCUUAUGUCCAGGGCUACACACGUGUUACAAUGGUCGGUACAAAGGGCAGCUACACCGCGAGGUGAUGCUAAUCUCUAAAGCCGGUCUCAGUUCGGAUCGAAGUCUGCAACCCGACUUCGUGAAGUUGGAUUCGCUAGUAAUCGCGCAUCAGCCAUGGCGCGGUGAAUACGUUCCCGGGCCUU
Molecule: ribosomal RNA, 435 nt
Filed under: uncultured Sphingobacteriales bacterium
Lineage: Bacteria; Pseudomonadati; Bacteroidota; Sphingobacteriia; Sphingobacteriales
Description: bacterial SSU rRNA
Rfam family: Bacterial small subunit ribosomal RNA
Source: RNAcentral